RNAcentral lists this ribosomal RNA (252 nucleotides) under uncultured bacterium. RNAcentral describes it as "partial 16S ribosomal RNA". It matches the Rfam family "Bacterial small subunit ribosomal RNA", at positions 524 to 776 of the family's 1533-position model. The record is from RNAcentral.
UACGGAGGAUGCGAGCGUUAUCCGGAUUUAUUGGGUUUAAAGGGUGCGUAGGCGGGCUUUUAAGUCAGCGGUAAAAAUGCGGGGCUCAACCCCGUCCGGCCGUUGAAACUGGGGGUCUUGAGUGGGCGAGAAGAAGGCGGAAUGCGUGGUGUAGCGGUGAAAUGCAUAGAUAUCACGCAGAACCCCGAUUGCGAAGGCAGCCUUCCGGCGCCCUACUGACGCUGAGGCACGAAAGUGCGGGGAUCGAACAGG